CAUAAGGCAAUAAUCUUUUGAAAAUUUUAAGAGCCGACCCCAAGCAUUAAGAGCCGACCUCGACAUGCCUGAGAAGAUUGGUGCAAUCCAUGAGUUGAUCAUAUCAGAAAUGUGUUGACCAUAGCGUAGUCUCAAGGUGCACACAGAGAGCUGUGAAGCAUGACCCACUUAUAAGUUGACCUCGGAGCUUAAUGAGUCGACCCC
RNAcentral lists this long non-coding RNA (204 nucleotides) under Elaeis guineensis (African oil palm). Its description in RNAcentral is "long non-coding RNA (EGUI_LNC061954)". Lineage: Eukaryota; Viridiplantae; Streptophyta; Magnoliopsida; Arecales; Arecaceae. The record is from RNAcentral.